This 425-nucleotide ribosomal RNA is filed under the name uncultured bacterium. Its description in RNAcentral is "partial 16S ribosomal RNA". It matches the Rfam family "Bacterial small subunit ribosomal RNA", at positions 354 to 796 of the family's 1533-position model. The record is from RNAcentral.
GUGGGGAAUCUUGCGCAAUGGGCGAAAGCCUGACGCAGCCAUGCCGCGUGAAUGAUGAAGGUCUUAGGAUUGUAAAAUUCUUUCACCGGGGACGAUAAUGACGGUACCCGGAGAAGAAGCUCCGGCUAACUUCGUGCCAGCAGCCGCGGUAAUACGAAGGGGGCUAGCGUUGCUCGGAAUUACUGGGCGUAAAGGGCGCGUAGGCGGACAGCUUAGUCAGAGGUGAAAGCCCAGGGCUCAACCUUGGAAUUGCCUUUGAUACUGGCUGUCUUGAGUACGGGAGAGGUGAGUGGAGCUCCGAGUGUAGAGGUGAAAUUCGUAGAUAUUCGGAAGAACACCAGUGGCGAAGGCGACUCACUGGCCCGUUACUGACGCUGAGGCGCGAAAGCGUGGGGAGCAAACAGGAUUAGAUACCCCUGUAGUCC